Molecule: ribosomal RNA, 441 nt
Filed under: uncultured bacterium
Lineage: Bacteria
Description: bacterial SSU rRNA
Rfam family: Bacterial small subunit ribosomal RNA
Source: RNAcentral
CCUAUGGGAUGCAGCAGUGGGGAAUAUUGGACAAUGGGCGAAAGCCUGAUCCAGCAAUGCCGCGUGUGUGAAGAAGGUCUUCGGAUUGUAAAGCACUUUCGACGGGGACGAUGAUGACGGUACCCGUAGAAGAAGCCCCGGCUAACUUCGUGCCAGCAGCCGCGGUAAUACGAAGGGGGCUAGCGUUGCUCGGAAUGACUGGGCGUAAAGGGCGCGUAGGCGGAUGACACAGUCAGAUGUGAAAUUCCCGGGCUUAACCUGGGGGCUGCAUUUGAUACGUGUUGUCUAGAGUGAGGAAGAGGGUUGUGGAAUUCCCAGUGUAGAGGUGAAAUUCGUAGAUAUUGGGAAGAACACCGGUGGCGAAGGCGGCAACCUGGUCCUUGACUGACGCUGAGGCGCGAAAGCGUGGGGAGCAAACAGGAUUAGAUACCCGAGUAGUCC